RNAcentral lists this ribosomal RNA (91 nucleotides) under Bipolaris sorokiniana. Its description in RNAcentral is "partial 28S ribosomal RNA". Lineage: Eukaryota; Fungi; Ascomycota; Dothideomycetes; Pleosporales; Pleosporaceae. The record is from RNAcentral.
UAUUUUGCGCUUUGUAUCAGGAGAAAAGGACGGUAAUCCAUCAAGACUCUACAUUUUUAACUUUGACCUCGGAUCAGGUAGGGAACCCCAU